Molecule: long non-coding RNA, 447 nt
Organism: Camelus dromedarius (Arabian camel)
Lineage: Eukaryota; Metazoa; Chordata; Mammalia; Artiodactyla; Camelidae
Exons: 3
Source: RefSeq, a predicted model, not a curated record
GUGAGAAGCCCUAGUGGGUCAGCUCUUGCCAUAAGAACAAGAGGGAAACAAGGAGAGAAAGAGGCUCAUAAUGAUGUCAGAACUCGGGGAACAGAGGAUUUGGAGACAGAGAUCGAGGGCAGAACCAAGUCUAGAGCAUGGAAGUCACAGGAAGAAAAUUGGCAUGUAAUGCAGGAAAGCACUUUCCUACAGGAAGAGGUGCUGGAGAUGCAGCGGAUCUCCUUGAGAAGUCUUGAGCAUCCCACCUUUGAAGAUUGUUGAAUCCCAUAGAAGUCUGAGCUAUGGAUAGAGGGAGGAACCAAGACCCAGAGAGGUGAGAAGACUCAUCAGCACAACGUGGCAAAAAAAUACCACUUGGAACUGAUCCCCAGAUCGCUGGCCCUGAACUGUAUGCUCUUAUGGCCACAAAAAUCAACCACAUACCAAGAGGCUGGAAAUGGAGCCCUU